GGCUGUAUGUUGGGUAUCUUUCUGCAUCAAUCAUUGGAUGCAACUCUUGUGUGACUAUGUCAAUGAUUGAGUCUCUCACUUAGCACAAAUCCUAAUUUUGAAAAUUAUGUCACCAAUGACAACAUUGCCCUGAAUGCGUUUGUUCUGGUAAAUAUAGCUUUAAUGCAAAAUUUUUUUAGUAUCAUAUACUAACAACACCUUUACUGGACAAUAGAUGACUGAUUGACGUACUGUUAGAUAUCAGUCCAAGAUUAGUUACUGAACAUA
RNAcentral lists this unclassified non-coding RNA (267 nucleotides) under Hevea brasiliensis (rubber tree). Lineage: Eukaryota; Viridiplantae; Streptophyta; Magnoliopsida; Malpighiales; Euphorbiaceae. The record is from RNAcentral.